This 648-nucleotide long non-coding RNA is filed under the name Gossypium barbadense (sea-island cotton). RNAcentral describes it as "long non-coding RNA (GBAR_LNC020853)". The record is from RNAcentral. Lineage: Eukaryota; Viridiplantae; Streptophyta; Magnoliopsida; Malvales; Malvaceae.
CUGGUCUUAAUAGUUUCAUCUCUUUCUUUUUCUUCUAUUGAUUUUUUGUUUUAAUUCCUUUUAUUGCCUUUCUGAAAAAAAGUAAUUGCCUUGUUGAUUUGCAAGCAAAUUUUGGUAAAGUUCUUAAAUAUUUGAGUUUAGAUCUUCUUUGAGAGUGCCGCUAUGGGAGUGAAGGGUUUUGUUGAAGGAGGCAUAGCCUCAAUCGUGGCCGGGUGUUCGACCCACCCGCUUGAUUUGAUCAAAGUCCGAAUGCAGCUCCAGGGUGAAAGCCAUGUUCCCAAUCCGGCUGUUCAAGCACUCCGCCCUGCUUUAGCCUUUCAGACAACCACUACUACCACCUCCUCUGCUAUCCACAUGCCUCCUCCGCCGGCGCGUGUUGGACCUGUGGCCACCGGGAUCAAGAUCUUCCGGACCGAAGGCGUCGCUGCUCUUUUUUCUGGCGUCUCUGCUACCGUCCUCCGCCAGACCCUCUAUUCCACCACCCGCAUGGGACUCUACGACAUCCUAAAACAGAAGUGGACUGAUAAAGAGACCAAAACAAUGCCUCUCUCGCGGAAAAUCACCGCCGGGCUAAUCGCCGGGGGGAUCGGCGCUGCCGUUGGGAACCCAGCCGACGUGGCGAUGGUGCGAAUGCAAGCUGACGGACGC